AAGUCGUAACAAGGUUUCCGUAGGUGAACCUGCGGAAGGAUCAUUAUUAGAAUCAAGGGUGCACUUUAUUGUGACUCUCUUUAAUCAUAACUUAAACCAUCUUUAAACCCAAAACUGUCUGGUGUGCUUUAACGAGUAUAGCCUUUCAGUAGUACGCAUCAGGGACUCUAUUGUUCAAGUUGCAUUACCCCCCCUCAUAAGUGACCCCCUUUAUUUUUUGAACCUCAUUACCCUUACAAGAAAGUUUUAAGAAUGUAAACCAAUUAUUAUAAAUAUAUAUAACUUUUAACAAUGGAUCUCUUGGCUCUCACAUCGAUGAAGAACGCAGUGAAAUGUGAUAAGUAAUGUGAAUUGCAGAAUUCAGUGAAUCAUCGAAUCUUUGAACGCACCUUGCACCUCUUGGUUAUUCCAAAAGGUACACCUGUUUGAGUAUCAUGAAACCCUCUCAUUCUGAUUCUUUAUUAAGUUAAAGGGUUGGUGAUGGAUGUUGAGUGUUGCCGUAAUUGGCUCGCUUUAAAUACAUAAGUACUUUUGUUGACAUAUGAAAAUGGAUAUAUACUUGGUGUGAUAUUAUUAUUAUCAAAUCAUUGAGGAGUGUAGUUAACUCUGCAGCCAUUUUGUGCAUGUUGAUGAAUAGCUUCCUAACCCCAUUAUAAUUUAAUCAUUUAGACCUCAAAUCAGGUGGGAUUACCCGCUGAACUUAAGCAUAUCAAUAAGCGGAGGAAAAGAAACUAACAAGGAUUCCCCUAGUAACGGCGAGUGAAGAGGGAAAAGCCCAAAUUUGUAAUCUGGCCUUUCUUGAAAAGGUCCGAAUUGUAAUUUUGAGAACUGUUUUCUGUG
RNAcentral lists this ribosomal RNA (840 nucleotides) under Pucciniastrum epilobii. Its description in RNAcentral is "eukaryotic LSU rRNA". The stretch from base 281 to 435 matches the Rfam family "5.8S ribosomal RNA". The record is from RNAcentral. Lineage: Eukaryota; Fungi; Basidiomycota; Pucciniomycetes; Pucciniales; Pucciniastraceae.